This 590-nucleotide ribosomal RNA is filed under the name uncultured marine eukaryote. RNAcentral's name for it is "SSU rRNA". It matches the Rfam family "Eukaryotic small subunit ribosomal RNA", at positions 1 to 598 of the family's 1831-position model. The record is from RNAcentral.
UACCUGGUUGAUCCUGCCAGUAGUCAUAUGCUUGUCUUAAAGAUUAAGCCAUGCAUGUCUAAGUAUAAGCAUUUAUACCGCGAGACUGCGAACGGCUCAUUAAAACAGUUAUGGUUUAUUUGAUGGUUCCUUUGCUACUUGGAUAACCGUAGUAAUUCUAGAGCUAAUACAUGCACGAAGGGGCGACUUACGAAGCCCUGUAUUUAUUAGAUUAAAGCCAACCGCCUCCGGGUGCUCGUGGUGAAUCAUAGUAACUAAUCGGAUCGCCGGCUCUAUGCCAGCGACGUGUCAUUCAAAUUUCUGCCCUAUCAGCUUUAGAUGGUAGGAUAUGGGCCUACCAUGGCGGUGACGGGUAACGGAGAAUUAGGGUUCGAUUCCGGAGAGGGAGCCUGAGAAACGGCUACCACUUCUAAGGAAGGCAGCAGGCGCGCAAAUUACCCAAUCCUGACUCAGGGAGGUAGUGACAAGAAAUAACAAUAAACCGGCUUAUGCCGGUUUAAUUGGAAUGAGUACAAUUUAAACAUCUUAACGAGGAACAAUUGGAGGGCAAGUCUGGUGCCAGCAGCCGCGGUAAUUCCAGCUCCAAUAGC